RNAcentral lists this unclassified non-coding RNA (210 nucleotides) under uncultured fungus. RNAcentral's name for it is "partial contains 18S rRNA, ITS1, 5.8S rRNA, ITS2 and 28S rRNA". Lineage: Eukaryota; Fungi. The record is from RNAcentral.
AAGGAUCAUUACCGAGUACCGGGUCUUCGGGCCCUACUCCCACCCUCUGUGUAUCUACCUCUUGUUCGUUGCCUUGGUGGGGUCGAUCCCCGUGGCCCUUGCGGCCACGUGGGGGACCUGCCAGGGGGACACCUUUAAACUCUUGUCAACCGUGACGUCUGAGAAAAACACAAUAAAUUAAAACUUUCAACAACGGAUCUCUUGGUUCUG